ACAAAAGGCAAACCCUAGUUUCCGUGUCUAACUUUUACUAUCCGUCUUAUAUAAAUUUUUUUUUAUAAUUUGUAUUUUUAUUAUUGUUAGAUGAUAAAACAUGAUUAAUAUUUUAUGCGUGACUUGUCUUUUUAAUUUUUUUCAUAAUUUUUUCAAAUAAGACGGAUGGUCAAACGUUGGACACGGAAACCAUGGUUUAUCUUUUU
This is a microRNA precursor of Oryza sativa Indica Group (long-grained rice), 206 nucleotides long. It matches the Rfam family "MIR812 microRNA precursor family". NCBI's taxonomy places the organism in Eukaryota, Viridiplantae, Streptophyta, Magnoliopsida, Poales, Poaceae. The record is from Rfam.